RNAcentral lists this unclassified non-coding RNA (232 nucleotides) under Hevea brasiliensis (rubber tree). The record is from RNAcentral. Lineage: Eukaryota; Viridiplantae; Streptophyta; Magnoliopsida; Malpighiales; Euphorbiaceae.
GGUUUUCACAAAGAUCUGCAUCUUUAUUGAAAUUUACCCAGAUAAUCUGUAGUCCUAAGGGGUAGAGCUGGAGAUCGAGAUCGAACUUAACUUAAAUAGGAAAUCGCUAACCAAAAGACGAAAAUAUCCAAGGCGGCAACCAACAGGAUACCGCCACGUCCAAAUUCGAGCGUGUUUCCCUGGUUUGCACGUUAAGAUUUUCAGUAGUCCUCAGGAUAUUUUCAGGAUGAAA